RNAcentral lists this unclassified non-coding RNA (225 nucleotides) under Glomus sp. Its description in RNAcentral is "partial contains 5.8S ribosomal RNA and internal transcribed spacer 2". The stretch from base 1 to 65 matches the Rfam family "5.8S ribosomal RNA", at positions 84 to 154 of the family's 154-position model. Lineage: Eukaryota; Fungi; Glomeromycota; Glomeromycetes; Glomerales; Glomeraceae. The record is from RNAcentral.
GUGAAUCAUCAAAUUUUUGAACGCAAAUUGCACUCUCCUCGGAGAGUAUGCCUGUUUGAGGGUCAGCCUAAAAAAAAUCGACAUCGUUGCUGUUCCGCGGUGACGUUCGUCGGAAAUUGGGUUAUCCUAAACCUUUUGGUUUAGGGGCUUAAAAAUUUUCUUUUUGUUUCAUUAAAGGUUUUUAGAAUUAAUUUUUUACAAGGUUUAGGGUAUGGUUUUUUUUUA